UACGUAGGGUGCGAGCGUUGUCCGGAAUUAUUGGGCGUAAAGAGCUCGUAGGCGGUGUGUCGCGUCGGCCGUGAAAACCUGGGGCUUAACUCUGGGCGUGCGGUCGAUACGGGCAUCACUGGAGUUCGGCAGGGGAGACUGGAAUUCCUGGUGUAGCGGUGAAAUGCGCAGAUUUCGCUUGGAACGCCAACGGUGAAAACAGCUCGCUGGGGGUGUGCUGACGCUGAGGCACGAAAGCCAGGGGAGCGAACGGG
This 254-nucleotide ribosomal RNA is filed under the name uncultured bacterium. RNAcentral's name for it is "partial 16S ribosomal RNA". It matches the Rfam family "Bacterial small subunit ribosomal RNA", at positions 524 to 776 of the family's 1533-position model. The record is from RNAcentral.